CUGUAUAACGGGACAACGGUCGUGAUAGCGACUACAAAAGAGAGUGUCACAACACGCUUAGUCUUUCAUUUCUCUUACAGCAGCCAAAGAGGGAAUGGCAAGCUCAGUUUAGUCGUUAUCUCCGAACAAUUUUUGGAACCACUGUCUUCGAUGACGUUUCGGGCGGUUAGGGACAACAAAAAGCAAAUAGAAUACAGAUAGCAACAAACGAGUGGCCCUAUUGUCCCAGGUUAGCUACUGUAAAAUCUCCUUCCACUGACGUUAUUUUCCGAUAACCUUGUUGUUUUGCGCGGCCACCUAUCAUGUAUUUUCAUAAAAUUAGAUGUUCGCGCCUGUGGUGACUUUAGUUCAAAGCAGUUCUAAUCGAUUUUGUACUAAGUGUCUCCCAUACUCAAAAUGGUACAUAGUCCCACCGUCGUAAAAGUUUAGCUCGCAUCGUACACUGUGAAGACGGUCAAAUAUGUCAGGAUUCAUGCUAACAUUAACUUUAAAUUGCUCGACGUCAAUAUAAUACAUAUAGUCGGAGAUGAUCAAAAAUAAUCCAUCGACACAUCAGUUUUUAUAAAAAGAUAUUAAUCAACACCGCUGGUUCUAUUUACGGCGACGAGAAUAACCUCCCCACAUCAUUCCUAUUAUGAUAAUGCAAGCAAUUGCAUCGUCGCUUUUGUCGCUCAAAGGUUUGUUAUAAACCUAAUUAGGAGUGCUAAUUAAUUAUAAAUAUUAUAUUAUUAACUAAAGUGUGAGCUUACCAGGAGUAACUAAAAUCGUCUUCCGGCUGCAAAAAAUACACCAUAUUUUUUUUUUUAGUUUUUUACUUCAAGAAAAUUAUAUUUUAAGGCAAUGUUCACUCUAUUAAUUUUUGACGCGUUGUUUGCUAAUAUGGUUUCUUGGUUGGAGGGUAAUUCCGUGGAUCAAGUGCUAUUCACAUGUUUAUAUUUACACGCUCCAGCUAAAAUUGAAGACAAAGCAUUGCGGUCCUUUGGCCACGCGAUACGCCAUUUAAUAAUACACAUUAAAAAUGUCAUUAUCUCAAAUAGCGUUUACAAAGAAGAGGACUUUGAAUUAUAUGGUAAUUCAUUGCUGUUGGCCAACGAAGAAUCGCCGUCAGGGUCGUCAAUUGGUGGACUGUUAAAAGAAAGUGAGGACAUAGCAAAUCAUCGAAUCAGCCGAAGAUAUAAUGGCCGUUGUACAUCGUUUACGUUUUAUGCAUCAUUUCUAUCAAUCGUUGUAUUUAUUUGACUAUGCCAUGACUAAUUCUGUCGGUGAAGGCAAUAUCAAUGGGAUUUAUAAACAUUUGAAUGCUUCCUUAGAGCUAAUACCGCAGAUCAAAAAAACCAUGGAAAAAGGUACACAACCUAUACCGGCCUCCAACCGUGUGUCCUAAUCCAACGGGCAUUCAUGAUCGCAGCCAGCCACCUACGUUUCCUCGUAGUGUUAAAAUACGUGAUCGCCUUUCUAGCUUAAUGUUCCUAGAAGAAUUAGUGCAGCGUUUGGAAUAUUCAUGUAAAAUUAUACGUAUGCGUGAGUACUGCACUGCUUUGGUAAGCUCUUAAUAAUUCAGAAGCCAAGUGUUGUUUCUGUCGUAAAUUUUUUUACGUUUUUUCAGAACUUUUUUAUAGAAUUCAGUCGUAAGUCGGGCCACUGCAUAUUGUCUCGUAGCAUGCUACAGGUUUUAUUCAUUUCGAAUAGACGUUUAAUUUUUGGAUCGAUGCAAAUUAAAGUUUUUCUUUGGAAUUCGGUGCGCGUUUUCAACAAUCCAUCUGUAAUGAAUCCAAAAAUGUUCUAGUUGCUGACCGUGAUAUUCAAGUGAUGCUGGAUAAUUUUUAUAAAAACUGCUCGAGUACUUUUACUCAAUUUAUACGAGUUGUCCAGGACACUCUGUUGCAGCUCGAAAUGGAAAUUCUCAGCAGGCAUGGCGUCUUCUGAUUACCACUUGUUCAGAUCGGUGCAGAUGCCUUGGCUGGCAAAGUUGAAGAUGUGCAAAAAUGCGUUGGUGCGUUCUGCAGUAGAUCGGAACAAACGACAAAUGAUGCUGAAAACUAUUAACUUAACAUUUUGUCGACACAUAUUGAUUGUUGCAGAAGCGAAAUGAUAAACGGCAUAUAUAAAUGAAAAUGAGUAAAUUGCAAUAUGUCUUCUUUUCCUUUCGGUACAGCAUAUAUCUAUACUUAUACCAGAACACUCGGGCUAUAUGACAAAUUUCAGUUAAAGGUUUUUUGGUCUUUAUAUCUAAUUAUCUUGUGAAAAUUAGAGAUUUAUACAUAUGUAUGUAAGUUGAAAAACGGUGAAUGGAGCUUCGCUCUACUUUAUGAUCAAGUAAAUAUAUUUUACAGGUCAUCAUCAUCAGAUGUGUCGAAACUAUUUUUAAAAUCAUUGGACGUUAUGCUUUUUCCUACUUUCCUCAAUGUGGGCUGAUAAUCAAUUAGCUGAACAAUAUCUGCUUGCUUUCUAAUUCUGUCAAGGCAGAGAAAACAUGAAUGUUGUUCAAAAAUCUAUAAUUAUGUUACAAUAUACUUACUGUGCGUGUGUGUGCACAUUUACGAUGUCGCUUUUGCUCUUUUUCCAUCGAUUUUUUUAUCUGUUUGGUGAUGCCUUCAGAUAAUACAGCAUUGCUUCUAAAAAAGCUCAAUACAAUACAAUUUCCAGAUAUUUUCAAAAUACUUCAUAAAA
Glossina fuscipes is the source of this 2670-nucleotide RNA transcript. It is a transcript of the gene named N-alpha-acetyltransferase 35, NatC auxiliary subunit homolog, with no coding region annotated. The transcript is spliced from 3 exons. NCBI's taxonomy places the organism in Eukaryota, Metazoa, Arthropoda, Insecta, Diptera, Glossinidae. The record is from RefSeq and is a predicted model, not a curated record.